UACAGAGGGUGCAAGCGUUAAUCGGAAUUACUGGGCGUAAAGCGUGCGUAGACGGUAGCGUAAGUCAGAUGUGAAAGCCCCGGGCUCAACCUGGGAACUGCAUUUGAGACUGCUCUGCUCGGGUGCGGAAGAGGGAAGCGGAAUUUCCGGUGUAGCGGUGAAAUGCGUAGAUAUCGGAAGGAACACCAGUGGCGAAAGCGGCUUCCUGGUCCGACACCGACGUUCAAGCACGAAAGCGUGGGGAGCAAACAGG
RNAcentral lists this ribosomal RNA (253 nucleotides) under uncultured bacterium. RNAcentral's name for it is "partial 16S ribosomal RNA". It matches the Rfam family "Bacterial small subunit ribosomal RNA", at positions 524 to 776 of the family's 1533-position model. The record is from RNAcentral.